Molecule: ribosomal RNA, 298 nt
Filed under: uncultured bacterium
Lineage: Bacteria
Description: partial 16S ribosomal RNA
Rfam family: Bacterial small subunit ribosomal RNA
Source: RNAcentral
CUAUGCGCCUUGCCAGCCCGCUCAGGUGUGCCAGCAGCCGCGGUAAUACGUAGGUGGCAAGCGUUGUCCGGAUUUAUUGGGCGUAAAGCGAGUGCAGGCGGUUCAAUAAGCUGAUGUGAAAGCCUUCGGCUCAACCGGAGAAUUGCAUCAGAAACUGUUGAACUUGAGUGCAGAAGAGGAGAGUGGAACUCCAUGUGUAGCGGUGGAAUGCGUAGAUAUAUGGAAGAACACCAGUGGCGAAGGCGGCUCUCUGGUCUGCAACUGACGCUGAGGCUCGAAAGCAUGGGUAGCGAACAGG